Molecule: ribosomal RNA, 421 nt
Filed under: uncultured bacterium
Lineage: Bacteria
Description: partial 16S ribosomal RNA
Rfam family: Bacterial small subunit ribosomal RNA
Source: RNAcentral
AAUAUUGGACAAUCGGGGCAACCCUGAUCCAGCCAUGCCGCGCGUGUGAAGAAGGUCUUCGGUUUGUUAAGCACUUUAAGUGGGGAGGAAGGGCUUUAGGCUAAUACCCUGAACUUUUUACGUUACCAACAUAAUAAGCACAGGCUAACUCUUUGCCAGCAGCCGCGGUAAUACAGAGGGGGCAAGCGUUAAUCGGAAAUACUGGGCGUAACGGGCGCGUAGGUGGUUCAGUAAGAGGUGUGUGAAAUCCCCGGGCUUAACCUUGGAACUGCUUUCAUAACUGCUGAGCUUGAGUACGGUAGAGGGUAGUGGAAUUUCCUGUGUAGCGGUGAAAAGCGUAGAUAUAGGAAGGAACACCAGUUGCGAAGGCGACUACCUGGGCUGAUACUGACACUGAGGUGCGAAAGCGUGGGGAGCAAAC